AUUGAACGCUGGCGGCAGGCCUAACACAUGCAAGUCGAACGGUAACAGGAAGAAGCUUGCUUCUUUGCUGACGAGUGGCGGACGGGUGAGUAAUGUCUGGGAAACUGCCUGAUGGAGGGGGAUAACUACUGGAAACGGUAGCUAAUACCGCAUAACGUCGCAAGACCAAAAAGGGGGACCUUCGGGCCUCUUGCCAUCGGAUGUGCCCAGAUGGGAUUAGCUAGUAGGUGGGGUAACGGCUCACCUAGGCGACGAUCCCUAGCUGGUCUGAGAGGAUGACCGGCCACACUGGAACUGAGACACGGUCCAGACUCCUACGGGAGGCAGCAGUGGGGAAUAUUGCGCAAUGGGCGGAAGCCUGAUGCAGCCAUGCCGCGUGUAUGACGAAGGCCUUCGGGUUGUAAAGUACUUUCAGCGGGGAGGAAGGGAGUAAAGUUAAUACCUUUGCUCAUUGACGUUACCCGCAGAAGAAGCACCGGCUAACUCCGUG
RNAcentral lists this ribosomal RNA (490 nucleotides) under uncultured bacterium. Its description in RNAcentral is "partial 16S ribosomal RNA". It matches the Rfam family "Bacterial small subunit ribosomal RNA", at positions 30 to 507 of the family's 1533-position model. The record is from RNAcentral.